CGGCAAGAGCUCAAAUUUGAAAUCUGGCACCGUCGGUGUCCGAGUUGUAAUUUGAAGAAGGCAGUCUUGGUGGCCAACCUUGUCUAUGUUCCUUGGAACAGGACGUCACAGAGGGUGAGAAUCCCGUGCGAUGAGGUUUGUCUGCUGUGUAAGGCGCCUUCGAA
RNAcentral lists this ribosomal RNA (164 nucleotides) under [Candida] sp. RNAcentral describes it as "Candida sp. (in: Saccharomycetales) partial large subunit ribosomal RNA". It matches the Rfam family "Eukaryotic large subunit ribosomal RNA", at positions 99 to 261 of the family's 3401-position model. The record is from RNAcentral. Lineage: Eukaryota; Fungi; Ascomycota; Saccharomycetes; Saccharomycetales.